RNAcentral lists this ribosomal RNA (433 nucleotides) under uncultured bacterium. Its description in RNAcentral is "partial 16S ribosomal RNA". It matches the Rfam family "Bacterial small subunit ribosomal RNA", at positions 29 to 507 of the family's 1533-position model. The record is from RNAcentral.
AACGAACGCUGGCGGCAUGCCUAACACAUGCAAGUCGAACGAGACCUUCGGGCCUAGUGGCGCACGGGUGCGUAACGCGUGGGAACCUGCCCUUAGGUUCGGAAUAACUCCCCGAAAGGGGUGCUAAUACCGGAUAAUGUCUUCGGACCAAAGAUUUAUCGCGUUUGGAUGGGCCCGCGUUGGAUUAGCUAGUUGGUAGGGUAAAAGCCUACCAAGGCGACGAUACAUAGCUGGGCUGAGAGGAUGGUCAGCGACACUGGGACUGAGAAACGGCCCGGACUCUUACGGGAGGGGGCAGUGGGGAAUAUUGGACAGUGGGCGGAAGCCUGAUCGAGCUAUGACGCGUGAGUGAUGAAGGUCUUAGGGUUGUAAAGCUCUUUUACCCGGGAUGAUAAUGACGGUACCGAGAGAAUAAGCUCCGGCUAACUCCGUG